This 253-nucleotide ribosomal RNA is filed under the name uncultured bacterium. Its description in RNAcentral is "partial 16S ribosomal RNA". It matches the Rfam family "Bacterial small subunit ribosomal RNA", at positions 524 to 776 of the family's 1533-position model. The record is from RNAcentral.
UACGUAGGGUCCGAGCGUUGUCCGGAAUUACUGGGCGUAAAGAGCUCGUAGGUGGUUUGUCGCGUUGUUCGUGAAAGCCCUGGGCUCAACCUGGGAAUUGCAUUGGAUACGGGCAGACUGGAGUGCUGUAGGGGAGACUGGAAUUCCUGGUGUAGCGGUGAAAUGCGCAGAUAUCAGGAGGAACACCGGUGGCGAAGGCGGGUCUCUGGGCAGUAACUGACGCUGAGGAGCGAAAGCGUGGGGAGCGAACAGG